GAGAGUAUUUGACGGUGACGUCGACGGCCCCCCUGAGGUCUCCACUUCCCCCCUCGUUUUCGUCCUCGUCUUCCGAUGGCUUCUCCUCCCCCUCCUCCACCGACUUCCCACCCCUCGCUGCUGCCCGAGAUCGGCCCCGAUGGCAUCGCCAGAGAGUCCCCCAUCAUCGCUUACACCGAGAAGAUCAUCGAGGCAGAGCAGCUCCAGCUCAAGAGAUAUAUUCAAGAAAAUUAUUCUAAGAUUCGCGAAGUGGAACGUGAGCUAGAGUCUCUUACAUUGGAGUUGAAGCUUACAGCUGGGCCAAAAAAAGCAGCGCUUGAACACCUGCGAAAGAAGAUUGAAUUGUCAACUGAGAGGAUACAUAUGGCUAAGCUCAAGGAAGAACAAACUAAAAAGGCAUGGGAAGCUGCAGUUCAAGCUGUCAAAGAUGAGGAGGAUAUCAAGCAGAAGCUUUGUGAUGAUCUGAAUCAGCUGGUUCAAGAAAGCACAAGUACCCAAUAUUUAAGGUUGGAGGAGCUAAAAAGACGACUAGAAGCUCUCAACCCUAGCAGGAUUUCCUCUGAUGUUUCAGAUGGGAAGUUGAUGCAGCAGAUACCAAGCAAUGUUAUAGCUGCCACAAUCACACAGAAUCAACCAGUAGAGCGAAGAAUUCCUGAUGCAACUGCUCCUGCAACCAAUAAAACCGAGCCAGCUUCAGAUGCACGGAACCAAUGGCCCGUGGAAGUGAAAGAAAAGAAGAGAACCAUGAAUUCUGGAAGAGCGAAGGGCAGCAUGCUCAUUCCAAAGGGAAGGGGACCUUCAGGGUCUGGCUGGACCGGAGCUGGAUUUGAUGUUGAUAGUGGGACAUGAUGGAGGAUUGGUUUCAGGCUCUCUCCAUGGCCACUUGAGAUUGUGGCUGCAUGGUAGGACUUGGAAAUUUAAUUGAGGCUCCUUACGGGGAACAAGGCACGGAAAGAUUUGACUCUCCAUUAAAGAAGAAGAUUGCUGAGUUUAGAGGGGAUGGAUGAUACGGAGGAGGAUCGAUGGAUGCUUACCAUUGGAGCAAUCGCUUAAGUUGGAGAUGCCGCAGGACCGGGCGAGGCGAAACCCCUCAUCGGUGGAGAUGUUGAAAGCCUUCAUGACGGUGGCGUCGUUGAGCACGGCGCAGAGGCACUGCAGGUCGUUAUCCACCGCCUGCUUCAGCGGCGUGCAGCACUCCGCC
Molecule: RNA transcript, 1201 nt
Organism: Musa acuminata AAA Group (dessert banana)
Lineage: Eukaryota; Viridiplantae; Streptophyta; Magnoliopsida; Zingiberales; Musaceae
Gene name: actin cytoskeleton-regulatory complex protein PAN1-like
Exons: 9
Source: RefSeq, a predicted model, not a curated record